RNAcentral lists this unclassified non-coding RNA (334 nucleotides) under soil metagenome. RNAcentral describes it as "partial contains 5.8S ribosomal RNA, internal transcribed spacer 2, and large subunit ribosomal RNA". The stretch from base 1 to 120 matches the Rfam family "5.8S ribosomal RNA", at positions 35 to 154 of the family's 154-position model. The record is from RNAcentral.
GAUGAAGAACGUAGCGAAAUGCGAUAAGUAAUGUGAAUUGCAGAAUUCAGUGAAUCAUCGAAUCUUUGAACGCACAUUGCGCCCGCCAGUAUUCUGGCGGGCAUGCCUGUUCGAGCGUCAUUUCAACCAUCAAGCCCCGGGCUUGUGUUGGGGACCUGCGGCUGCCGCAGGCCCUGAAAUGCAGUGGCGGGCUCGCUGUCACUCCGAGCGUAGUAGUUACAUCUCGCUCUGGGCGUGCUGCGGGUUCCGGCCGUUAAAAGCCUUAUUUACCCAAGGUUGACCUCGGAUCAGGUAGGAGGACCCGCUGAACUUAAGCAUAUCAAUAAGCGGAGGA